UACAGAGGGUGCUAGCGUUGUUCGGAAUCAUUGGGCGUAAAGGGCGUGUAGGCGGUUUGUUAAGUCAUGUGUGAAAUCCCUCGGCUCAACCGGGGAACGACGCAUGAAACUGGCAAGCUAGAGUACCAAAGAGGAGAGUGGAAUUCCUGGUGUAGCGGUGAAAUGCGCAGAUAUCAGGAGGAACACCGGUGGCGAAGGCGGGUCUCUGGGCCGAUACUGACGCUGAGGAGCGAAAGCGUGGGGAGCAAACAGG
RNAcentral lists this ribosomal RNA (253 nucleotides) under uncultured bacterium. Its description in RNAcentral is "partial 16S ribosomal RNA". It matches the Rfam family "Bacterial small subunit ribosomal RNA", at positions 524 to 776 of the family's 1533-position model. The record is from RNAcentral.